GACGAACGCUGGUGGCGUGCUUACACAUGCAAGUCGAACGGAAAGGCCCUGCUUUUGUGGGGUGCUCGAGUGGCGAACGGGUGAGUAACACGUGAGUAACCUGCCCUUGACUUUGGGAUAACUUCAGGAAACUGGGGCUAAUACCGGAUAGGAGCUCCUGCUGCAUGGUGGGGGUUGGAAAGUUUCGGCGGUUGGGGAUGGACUCGCGGCUUAUCAGCUUGUUGGUGGGGUAGUGGCUUACCAAGGCUUUGACGGGUAGCCGGCCUGAGAGGGUGACCGGCCACAUUGGGACUGAGAUACGGCCCAGACUCCUACGGGAGGCAGCAGUGGGGAAUAUUGCACAAUGGGCGGAAGCCUGAUGCAGCAACGCCGCGUGCGGGAUGACGGCCUUCGGGUUGUAAACCGCUUUCGCCUGUGACGAAGCGUGAGUGACGGUAAUGGGUAAAGAAGCACCGGCUAACUACGUGCCAGCAGCCGCGGUGAUACGUAGGGUGCGAGCGUUGUCCGGAUUUAUUGGGCGUAAAGGGCUCGUAGGUGGUUGAUCGCGUCGGAAGUGUAAUCUUGGGGCUUAACCCUGAGCGUGCUUUCGAUACGGGUUGACUUGAGGAAGGUAGGGGAGAAUGGAAUUCCUGGUGGAGCGGUGGAAUGCGCAGAUAUCAGGAGGAACACCAGUGGCGAAGGCGGUUCUCUGGGCCUUUCCUGACGCUGAGGAGCGAAAGCGUGGGGAGCGAACAGGCUUAGAUACCCUGGUAGUCCACGCUGUAAACGGUGGGUACUAGGUGUGGGGUCCAUUCCACGGGUUCCGUGCCGUAGCUAACGCUUUAAGUACCCCGCCUGGGGAGUACGGCCGCAAGGCUAAAACUCAAAGGAAUUGACGGGGCCCCGCACAAGCGGCGGAGCAUGCGGAUUAAUUCGAUGCAACGCGUAGAACCUUACCUGGGUUUGACAUGGAUCGGGAGUGCUCAGAGAUGGGUGUGCCUCUUUUGGGGUCGGUUCACAGGUGGUGCAUGCCUGUCGUCAGCUCGUGUCGUGAGAUGUUGGGUUAAGUCCCGCAACGAGCGCAACCCUUGUUCACUGUUGCCAGCACGUUAUGGUGGGGACUCAGUGGAGACCGCCGGGGUCAACUCGGAGGAAGGUGGGGAUGACGUCAAGUCAUCAUGCCCCUUAUGUCCAGGGCUUCACGCAUGCUACAAUGGCUGGUACAGAGAGUGGCGAGCCUGUGAGGGUGAGCGAAUCUCGGAAAGCCGGUCUCAGUUCGGAUUGGGGUCUGCAACUCGACCUCAUGAAGUCGGAGUCGCUAGUAAUCGCAGAUCAGCAACGCUGCGGUGAAUACGUUCCCGGGGCU
Molecule: ribosomal RNA, 1345 nt
Filed under: uncultured bacterium
Lineage: Bacteria
Description: partial 16S ribosomal RNA
Rfam family: Bacterial small subunit ribosomal RNA
Source: RNAcentral